This 406-nucleotide long non-coding RNA is filed under the name Olea europaea (common olive). RNAcentral's name for it is "long non-coding RNA (OEUR_LNC002556)". The record is from RNAcentral. Lineage: Eukaryota; Viridiplantae; Streptophyta; Magnoliopsida; Lamiales; Oleaceae.
AGCAUUCUAAAUUGAAGGUAGAGGAAACGGAGAUACCAGUUUGCAGUUGCAGAACCCUUGCUCAGAUAAAGACAUCAUGGACUAGUUUGAACCCAGGCACACGAUUUCUUACCUGUCGAUGCGGAAUGGAUUUGUGAGGUAGUAUAUUCUUUUUUUUGGUGGGAUCCCGCAAUGUGUCAGAGAUCAAGAAAGCUGAUACCUGAUCUUCUACUAUUAAGGUGAGAUAUAGAAGCUGAAAUUAGGCAACUUUGUUGAAUGGAGGUGGUGUAUGGAAGAUUUGGUUUUGUGGGUUUGUCUAUGGAAUGAUAGUAAAGUGUAUCUAUAGUUAAAUCUUUAUUAGGUUUUGGGGUUUUGUUGCUUGAUCUGUAAUCUUUCUUUUGCAAUAGUGUAACCUAAGUUAAUGGGU